AGCAGCCGCGGUAACACCGGCAGCUCUAGUGGUAGCAGUUUUAUUGGGCCUAAAGCGUCCGUAGCCGGUUUAAUAAGGUCUCUGGUGAAAUCCUGUAGCUUAACUGUGGGAAUUGCUGGAGAUACUAUUAGACUUGAGACCGGGGAGAGGUUAGAGGUACGUCCCAGGGUAGAGGUCGAAAUUCUGUAAUCCUGGGAGGACCGCCUGUUGCGAAAGGCGUCUAACUGGAACGGUUCUGACGGUGAGGGACGAAAGUUAGGGGCGCGAACCGGAUUAGGAUACCCGGGUAGUCCUAACCGUAAACGAUGCGGACUUGGUGUUGGGGUGGCUUUGAGCUGCUCCAGUGCCGAAGGGAAGCUGUUAAGUCCGCCGCCUGGGAAGUACGGUCGCAAGACUGAAACUUGAAGGAAUUGGCGGGGGAGCACCACAACGCGUGGAGCCUGCCGGGUUUAAUUGGAUUCAACGCCGGACAUCGUCACCAGAGGCGACAGCUGUAUGAUAGCCAGGCUGAUGACUUUGCUUGACUAGCUGAGGGGUGGUGCAUGG
Molecule: ribosomal RNA, 546 nt
Filed under: uncultured archaeon
Lineage: Archaea
Description: bacterial SSU rRNA
Rfam family: Archaeal small subunit ribosomal RNA
Source: RNAcentral